Molecule: ribosomal RNA, 446 nt
Filed under: uncultured bacterium
Lineage: Bacteria
Description: bacterial SSU rRNA
Rfam family: Bacterial small subunit ribosomal RNA
Source: RNAcentral
UCGGGAAUUUUGGGCAAUGGGCGCAAGCCUGAUCCAGCCAUGCCGCGUGAGUGAAGAAGGCCUUCGGGUUGUAAAGCUCUUUUGUCAGGGACGAUAAUGACGGUACCUGAAGAAUAAGCCCCGGCAAACUUCGUGCCAGCAGCCGCGGUAAUACGAAGGGGGCUAGCGUUGUUCGGAAUUACUGGGCGUAAAGCGCACGUAGGCUGAUUGUUAAGUCAGGGGUGAAAUCCCAGAGCUCAACUCUGGAACUGCCCUUGAUACUGGCAAUCUCGAGUCCGGAAGAGGUUAGUGGAAUUCCCAGUGUAGAGGUGAAAUUCGUAGAUAUUGGGAAGAACACCAGUGGCGAAGGCGGCUAACUGGUCCGGUACUGACGCUGAGGUGCGAAAGCGUGGGAGCAAACAGGAUUAGAUACCCUUGUAGUCCCUGAGCGGGCUGGCAAGGCGCAU